CGACGCCUACACUCCAUCCAUCUUGAUGUCUCCGUCGGUUCCAUCCCUUUCUCACUCGCUCAGGAGCUUCUUCCUCUUCCGACUCCGUCGCUUCCCCUCCCCUUCUCACUCGCUCACCUCUUCCUCUUCCGACGGUGAGCAUCGCCCUACCAAUCCUGGACGCCACCAUAGUCCUUCCCUGCUCCAUCUCUCCAUCCUCCAGUGCCCCUCCUCUCUCACCCCUCGGCUAUGCUGGAUGCCGGUCGCGCCAGGCUGCCUGCUGGUGAAGGAACGGCCGAAUCUGGCCAAGGGAUAGAGCUCGGGGGUGAAGGAAUGGCCGAAUCCACCGAAGGGUCAACCAGAUGCAGCGAAGGGAGGACCAUAUCUACAAUCCCUCGUUCGAGCGCGACGCGUGCGGCGUUGGGUUUGUCGCUGAGCUUUCUGGCGAUUACAAGCGCGCGACUGUUAAUGAUGCUAUUGAGAUGCUUGAGAGAAUGGCACACCGUGGUGCCUGUGGCUGUGAGAAGAACACAGGAGACGGUGCCGGCAUCAUGGUCGCUCUACCACAUGACUUCUUCAAAGAGGUCACAAAGGAUGCUGGGUUUGAGCUACCGCCACCAGGCGAGUAUGCUGUUGGAAUGUUAUUUAUGCCAACCGAUGAAAAGCGUCGUGAGAAGGGCAAAGCUGAGUUUAAGAAGGUCGCGGAAUCACUGGGACAUGUAAUACUCGGGUGGCGUCCAGUUCCAACUGAUAACUCAGACCUGGGUGAAUCUGCACUGGAGACAGAGCCAGUCAUUGAGCAGGUUUUUAUUACCAAGAGUUCAAGAUCAGAGGCUGAGUUUGAGCAACAGCUAUAUAUCCUUAGGAGACUCUCAAUCAUCUCCGUCCGAGCAGCUCUGAACAUUAAGCGUGGAGGAGAGAGGGAUUUCUACAUGUGUUCUCUGUCUUCAAGACAUACAGUUGUUGGUUGGGUACUUUCUUGCUGGGUGUGACUUUCCAAGAGUGCAGAAAUGAGCGAUUUGCAGAAUCGCACUCCAUUUGGUUUGAGAAGAUUCUGGGCAAUUUGCAGAUUGGAAUGGACAUCAUAGCCACAUGCCAUCUAUUGAUUUGAGACUUUGAGUGCAGAUAAGUUGAAUCAUUUUUUUUUUUUUUCAUGAUCUAUUUCAGUUUUCAUACUUCUCAUCAAUAUUUCAAUAUAAAACUGCUCUAAACUACUAUAUUUGUCUUCUAUGGUACAUAUAGUUUUCUUAAAGCGAUAUAGCGUGUUUAGCCCCUCCUUAUAUUUUCAUGGAUUUGUCUUUUGUCACUGGUGAUACUUGAUAAUAGAUAGAGCUCUUUUUAUAUCAUAUCUCCAAUUAUUUGGCACUUUGUGUUAUACAGCAUGUGGAUUUGCAGAUGAUCCUAAUCUGAGUUUACUGAUUCUUGUUCUUUCAUCAUGCUUUAUUGCUUUGGGAAAAGAAAACCUAACGAAGGCAUAUAUACUAAAAUUUAGAAUUCACAAUAUAAAUUUAAUAAGAAGAGCUCUUCCACCGUAUCUAUUUUUCUGUUCUAACUUCUAAGAACACAUCCUCAUUAUUUCAGUCACAAACCUGUCUUAUUUUUAUUAUCACUGCACUAUCAUAAUCACCACUAUAAUAUUUUAUAUAUCUACAUAUGACUUAUUACGGACCAUCUGGUCUUAACAUAUCUUUACUUUAUUUGUCUAUGUACUCACGCCGCCUAAAAGUAUCGCUUGUUGUCUGUAUGUUGUCUUUUUUAGCAUGCACUUGGUCAUAUAUUUAUUAAGUAAUGUAUAAAAGUUUUUCUUAGCAAGCUUUCAAUUGGUGAUCAUUUUAUGACAUGAAUAUUAAAAUAUGGAACCUUUGUCUGGUGUAUAAUAGAUUAAUAGUUCUGAAGUAAUUGGGGCUGGGCCCUUCCAUUUUGAGUGCCACUGAAACAUUCUCUGUUCAUUUAUAAGGCCGUAUGUAAAUGCAUUUUUCCUUUUCCAUUUACAGGGUGGACUUUUUGUGUAUGACAUAUUCUGGGUGUUCUUCAUUCCAGUUAUGGAAACGCAAAGGCGAGGGCGACUCCAGGAACUGGCAAAACGCAGGAUUGACGGCUUCAAGGACGGUCGCAGGACUGAGGUUGCCAACGCAGGUUGGGCUCGGGGGUCGGGCGACGGCGAGGGCGACCUGGCAACGCAGGUCGUGCGAGGGCGUCGGGCGAUGAUGAGGCGCAGGUCGGCGAGGGCGUUGGGCUGCGGCGUCGGGGGCGAGGGCGUCGCGCGUCGGGCGUCGAGGCAACCCGACGCAGGUCGUGCGAGGGCGUUGGGCGAGGAUGAGGCGCAGGUCUGCGAGGGCGUUGGGCUGCGGCGUCGGGGGCGAGGUCGAGGGCGACGGUGUCGAUGGCGUCGCGUGUCGGGCGUCGCGUGUCGGGCGUCUAGCGUCGGGCGUCGAGCGUCGGGCGUCGGGGUCGAGGCAACGCGGGCGUCGAGCGUCGGGCGUCGGUGGCGAGGGCAACUCUCCAGACCUGGCAACGCAGGUCGGGCGUCGGGGCCUUAGGCGAGGGCGACGGUGUCGGGGGCGGGCGAGGGUGAAGGGCGAGGGCGUCGGUCGUCGGUGGCGGAGGGCGAGUCUCCUGACCUGGCAACCCAGGUCGGCCGUCGGACUUCGGGGGCGAGGGCGUCGACGAGGACCCAGGACGAUGGAGGAAGAGGUGCGACGUCGGGCGAGGGCGAGACGUCGGGUGAGGGCGAGUGCGAGGGCGUCGGGGGCGAGGAUUUGGUACCGUGCGAGUCUUUCCUUUAGAAGAGCAUGCGAUUAAUUUUGUUUCCUUUACAGGACUGAGAUUUUAUAUCAGGAAUCCUUUCUUUUUCUUUAUUUUAUUUCGCCCCCUUCCACCUCUCUGUUAUAUAUUAUUGUGUGUUGUAAAUUUGCAUCAGGAAUCCUAAGUUGUUUUUUUUUUUCAAUAUUUACCCUUCCACGUUGGGGCGUCGGGGGUUUCGCACGUCGGGGUGUGGGGGAGCGACCCCAAAAAAAAAGUCGCACCAUCUGGUCUUACUUUUGUUCUUUUUAGUUGUAGGAGAUUUGCAAGACGAAUAUUUUAAGUCUAGUUAAUCUAUGAUUGGUCGCAGAAAAUAUAAUGUGGUAAUGUAAUUAAAAAAGAGAGGGAAAGAAAUAAUUUUUAAGACCGAAAA
RNA transcript from Sorghum bicolor (sorghum), 3154 nucleotides. It is a transcript of the gene named glutamate synthase 1 [NADH], chloroplastic, with no coding region annotated. Lineage: Eukaryota; Viridiplantae; Streptophyta; Magnoliopsida; Poales; Poaceae. The record is from RefSeq and is a predicted model, not a curated record. The transcript has 8 exons.